GCUAGAGCCCCUGAAAUUAUUCUUGGAUUGCCAUUUUGUGAAGCUAUUGAUAUGUGGUCCUUGGGCUGCGUGAUAGCUGAGCUGUUCCUGGGAUGGCCUCUUUAUCCUGGUGCUUCGGAAUACGAUCAGGGCAUUGACUGUUUCAUUCCAUCAGUGUAUCAUCAGCUGCUACAUGUGUCUUAAACAUAGUAGGUACACAAGGGGACUCAUGGACCUCUGCUUCAGAAACCUUGCUCUGAGCAAUUACAGCCGCCAAAGUGCCAUUCCUAGCCCAACUGUUUACUGGCAUCCCCUCAGCCUUAGUAAACAGAUUGCCAUUGUGAAAUUUCCUAGGAAGUGGAACCAAAUACAAUUAAAUUUAGAAGCUAAGGUACAGCUGGGGCUUUCCUUGAAAAAAAAAAAAUGAUCUGGUAGUUUGGAGAAUUUUUGUUGGGUGCAUAAAUGUGAAACUGUGGGUGGAAGGAGGAAAGCCGCAGUUGGUUGAACCAAGCUGAAUCAGU
Myotis davidii is the source of this 500-nucleotide long non-coding RNA. RefSeq lists it as uncharacterized. The record is from RefSeq and is a predicted model, not a curated record. Lineage: Eukaryota; Metazoa; Chordata; Mammalia; Chiroptera; Vespertilionidae. The transcript has 3 exons.